GUCUUUGUAGCUCAGUUGGUUAGAGCACUAGACUAUUAAUCUAGGUGAUGGACUUAAAAUCCAUUUACGGAAGUGGCUGUCUUCUUUAAAACA
RNAcentral lists this transfer RNA (93 nucleotides) under Roseivirga sp. RNAcentral's name for it is "tRNA-Asn". The stretch from base 1 to 69 matches the Rfam family "tRNA". Rfam says of the family: Transfer RNA (tRNA) molecules are approximately 80 nucleotides in length. Their secondary structure includes four short double-helical elements and three loops (D, anti-codon, and T loops). Further hydrogen bonds mediate the characteristic L-shaped molecular structure. tRNAs have two regions of fundamental functional importance: the anti-codon, which is responsible for specific mRNA codon recognition, and the 3' end, to which the tRNAs corresponding amino acid is attached (by aminoacyl-tRNA synthetases). tRNAs cope with the degeneracy of the genetic code in two manners: having more than one tRNA (with a specific anti-codon) for a particular amino acid; and 'wobble' base-pairing, i.e. permitting non-standard base-pairing at the 3rd anti-codon position. The record is from RNAcentral. Lineage: Bacteria; Pseudomonadati; Bacteroidota; Cytophagia; Cytophagales; Roseivirgaceae.